AGUGAAUAGAUACCCGGGUAGUCCUAGCCGUAAACGAUACUCGCUAGGUGUCGGCCACGGUGCGACCGUUGUCGGUGCCGUAGGGAAAGCCGUGAAGCGAGCCACCUGGGAAGUACGGCCGCAAGGCUGAAACUUAAAGGAAUUGGCGGGGGAGCACCACAACGGGUGGAGCUUGCGGUUUAAUUGGAUUCAACGCCGGAAAUCUUACCGGGACCGACAGCAAUAUGAAGGCCAGGCUGAAGACUUUGCCGGAUUAGCUGAGAGGUGGUGCAUGGCCGUCGUCAGUUCGUACUGUGAAAGCAUCCUGUUAAGUCAGGCAACGAGCGAGACCCACGCCCACAGUUGCCAGCGUACUCUCUGGAGUGACGGGUACACUGUGGGGACCGCCGCUGCUAAAGCGGAGGAAGGAAUGGGCAACGGUAGGUCAGUAUGCCCCGAAUAUCCCGGGCUACACGCGAGCUACAAUGGUUGGUACAAUGGGUAUCUACCCGAAAGGGAUGGAAAUCUCCUAAAGCCAAUCUUAGUUCGGAUUGAGGGCUGCAACUCGCCCUC
This 552-nucleotide ribosomal RNA is filed under the name uncultured bacterium. RNAcentral's name for it is "bacterial SSU rRNA". It matches the Rfam family "Archaeal small subunit ribosomal RNA", at positions 725 to 1275 of the family's 1478-position model. The record is from RNAcentral.